GAAAGCUAUUAUACCUUCCUGCUAAGAAGGUAAAGAGAGUUUGGCCUCUCAGUUUUCU
This 58-nucleotide transfer RNA is filed under the name Capsaloides cristatus. Its description in RNAcentral is "tRNA-Ser". The record is from RNAcentral. Lineage: Eukaryota; Metazoa; Platyhelminthes; Monogenea; Capsalidea; Capsalidae.